GACAGAGGUGCCAAGCGUUAGGCGGAAUCACUGGGCUUAAAGCGUGUGUAGGUGGAAGCGUAAGUACCUUGUGAAAUCCCACGGCUUAACCGUGGAACUGCUUGGUAUACUGCGUUUCUUGAGCCAUCUAGGGGCUGUCGGAACAAAUGGUGGAGCGGUGAAAUGCGUAGAUAUCAUUUGGAACGCCAAAGGUGAAAACAGACAGCUGGGGAUGUGCUGACGCUGAGACACGAAAGCCAGGGGAGCGAACGGG
RNAcentral lists this ribosomal RNA (253 nucleotides) under uncultured bacterium. RNAcentral describes it as "partial 16S ribosomal RNA". It matches the Rfam family "Bacterial small subunit ribosomal RNA", at positions 524 to 776 of the family's 1533-position model. The record is from RNAcentral.